UUUAAGAGUUAUUCGGAGAAUCGAUGUAUUUAAAAUAAUAAUAAUAGACGAUUAGAUUGGUGCGGGAGAUUUUCAGAUUUAUGAUAUUGGUCGGAGUUGUAAAUAAAAGCUAAAUAAUUUUAUGAGGAAAUUGCGUUAAAAAACGGCGUAAAAGUAUCGUAGUAAAUUUAAAAAAGGCCGAGAAAAAGAAUAUGAAGUAAGUACCACCCGGGGUUAUGACCAGUAGUACUUCUCGGUUGAGACUGAUAAGCGAGAACGUAAUUCUCCAGCCCAUCUAUCUUCUGGCCUUGCUCCCUAGGCGAAAAUCAGUCCGAGCCCAAUCCAUACAAUACUUUGUUCCGAAAUCGUCAUUUCGGUUUAUAAUUAUUGAAACUCUCCAUUUUUUUCCUUUUCUUUGGUUUAAAGAAGUUUCAAUAAUUCUUAUUCUCGAUAAAAAAACAGAGGCAUUUGAAAGAAAGUUUUAAUUUAGGAGUUACCAGAAACGGAAACAAAUCCUUGUUUUGCCUUAGUAAUUGC
Molecule: long non-coding RNA, 516 nt
Filed under: Androctonus crassicauda
Lineage: Eukaryota; Metazoa; Arthropoda; Arachnida; Scorpiones; Buthidae
Source: RNAcentral